UACAGAGGGUCCAAGCGUUGUCCGGAAUCACUGGGUGUAAAGGGUGCGUAGGCGGGCCGGUAAGUCAGAGGUGAAAGCCCGGGGCUCAACCCCGGAACUGCCUUUGAUACUGCCGGUCUUGAGUCCUGGAGAGGCUGCCGGAAUUCGUGGUGUAGCGGUGAAAUGCGUAGAUAUCACGAGGAACACCGGAUGCGUAGGCGGGCAGCUGGACAGGUACUGACGCUGAGGCACGAAAGCGUGGGGAG
RNAcentral lists this ribosomal RNA (245 nucleotides) under uncultured Rhodothermaceae bacterium. RNAcentral's name for it is "partial 16S ribosomal RNA". It matches the Rfam family "Bacterial small subunit ribosomal RNA", at positions 524 to 768 of the family's 1533-position model. Lineage: Bacteria; Pseudomonadati; Rhodothermota; Rhodothermia; Rhodothermales; Rhodothermaceae. The record is from RNAcentral.